This is a long non-coding RNA of Capra hircus (goat), 481 nucleotides long. RefSeq lists it as uncharacterized. Lineage: Eukaryota; Metazoa; Chordata; Mammalia; Artiodactyla; Bovidae. The transcript is spliced from 4 exons. The record is from RefSeq and is a predicted model, not a curated record.
GAGGGAGAGCGCCCCCGCGCCGCGCGUUACCUUCCUCGGGGCUCUCGUAGAAGUGGCCGCCGUUGAGCGCCGGGCCGGGCCCGAGGUCCUGCAGGAGGACCUACUCUGUGACAGGCAUUUGCUGGCAGUGGGAUACAGCAGAGAGCAAGACAGACGUGACCCCUGCCACAUGUCAACUUUGCUGGAAUGGAAAUAUCUCCUCCACAAUGAAAAAAAAAAAAUCAUCAUUUGGAUGUGAAUCAAAAUGGAAUCUGGUCUCCAGAACAGAACUCCUGGCCUCUAGCCUCAACUUCAAGUAUGAAAUUGGCAGCUACACUUUCUUGAAAUAAUAUAAAUAACAAUGCCUAGCACUUACCAAGUGAUUACUAUAUGGCAGACGUGGUUGGAUGGGCUUCACAUGUUUUAACUCAUUUAAUCCUCACAAGAACUCUUUGAGUUGCUAGUUCAGUUCAGUCGCUCAGUCGUGUCCAACUCUCUGCGA